Molecule: long non-coding RNA, 1931 nt
Organism: Equus quagga
Lineage: Eukaryota; Metazoa; Chordata; Mammalia; Perissodactyla; Equidae
Exons: 3
Source: RefSeq, a predicted model, not a curated record
CGGUGUCUGUCUCCAUGCAGGAUAGUGGAUUCUGGAGCCAGGAAGCCAGAGAUUGCUGCUCAUAGGACAGAGGCUGCGUACCUUCUCAGCAUCUUUGUAUUGUCCUCAGCUCAACAAUAUCCUUUUCAUUUGGAUUAUGGUGUGUGGAACUGAACUCAAUACUCCAGGAUAGAGUCCCAUCUCAACCAGGCUCUCUGAGGCACCCAUGGUCGUUUGUAUCAAUGCCUGCCGGAGAUGCCACUGGCUUCAGCCUUUGCUCAAAAAGAGCAGCUCCACCUCUCAGCCGCUUGCCUGCCCGGGCUGCCCCCAGCAGCUGUUUCCCAGCCAGCCCCAGGCACGGCUCACUGCCAGGGAGCAGAAGAACAUGCCUGAGUGAAUCCUUGCAGUCCUCUUUGUCUCUACUGGGGAUUACUCCACUGCGUCCACAGCACAGCCGCUGCUGGAGAGAGCGCUGCCGGGUCUGCUCACGUGGCAGGCUCGCUCGGAGCUGGGAAGCCAGUUGCCUCCUUGUGGACAAAGGCCUAACACUGUGACCUACGGAGUCCACAUUCCCCUGUUUGAAAGACAGAUAAUAACUUACUAAAAUAAAAUUUUGAUGCAUUUUUCAAUUUCUGACAUAACAUUCAAAUAACCCUAUUCUGAAGACAGUGUAAAAAUCACUAAAAUGAAUCUUCACGUUGCAUUUUUUUUCAGUUUGCUGGCUACUCAUUCCUAUGAAAUGUCUUUACAAGUUUAGCUUUAUAUGAUUGAGGUGAAACAGCACAAAACAUUCAAUUUCCUGUUAUAGUAGGUAUCUUGUUACUAACGGUGUCUUAGGACUCAAAUCAGAACAAAAAAAUAUCUUUACUAAUUUCCUUCCUUAACAACAUUCUGUGACUUGCUUCCUUUCAAAUCUCCUUUCGGAUGUAUAACUUUUCUAAUUUAGUGUGACUCUCCUUAUUUUCAAAAUAUACAUUCGAAUUUAUUUUCAAAUGUAUAUUUUACCUAAUUUACUGUUUCUCUUCCUAGUCUCGAAAUGUAUACACCUGAAUCACAUUUCAAAUGUAUGUUAUUGUCAUCAUCCAUUUGAAGUUUUGCUUCUUACUUGUCAAUUCAAGCACCCCCCUGCUAGCUGGAUCCCCAUACUGUUUCUGACAAUGUUGGGGGGUCUUGAAUUGUUCUCCAGUAUAAAAGGGAGCACAUAAAAGUGGUGGAUCGAGAACGGAUGUGUGUCCAGUUUAUGACUCAUCGCCAAUCUAGCUCAUUUCUUCCUACAUAGAGAUCUCACAUAACCAACGAAAGCUAUGUUUCAAAAUCAUCUGGGUCUGUGGUCUUAGUUCCACUUCCUCUAGUUAAGCCCUACUUACCUCUUACUCUUGGGUUAAGCAUCGCUUCCUCAGGGAAUCCUUCUCUGACCACAUCCUACCCUCACCACAAACUGAUCCAGACACUCCAGUUAUGUAAUCCAGCCUCUUAUGCUUUUCACCAUAGUGUUUAUUACAAUUUUUUAUUUAUGAUUCUCAGCACUUAUUUGAUUAAUGUCUAUCUCCCUUCACUAGACUCUUAAACUCAUUGAGGAGACUGAUAUUCUCUUACGCCCAUGUCCUGAGCCUAGAAUAAGGCUUGGCUCAUAGUAGGGAUUCAUUAAAUAUUUAGUGAAUAAAUGAAUAAAUAAAUGAAUGAAUAAAGAGAUGAAAAAAUGAAAGAAUGACUACGGUUCUGGUCACUAGAACCAUGACCAGCACGUGGUGGCGCUCAAUAAAAUGACAGCCGAUAUUAUCAUUGUGAGUCUCCACUCCAGAGCAAAUCAAUUUGCUGAGUGUUUCAGUUUGUUGAAAUUGAAUGGCUUCAAUUCGAUGAUUAUGGCUUCAGAAACUGAAAGUUAUGUGCUCCUUCAGGUAUGCUGUUUCCUGUAGUUGAAUUGUUUUCUGUAGCUUUGCAAUAGACAGAUA